GAUGUUGCUAUGUCGGGCAAGCACGCAAAUCUUUCAGGUUAUCAGCUCGAUUUAGUGUGCAUAGAAUUUAAAUCAUUUGGAGGCCUGUUUGCAACCACAUAAAUCUUUCAGAUAAUCAGCUUGAAUUAAAGUAUGCAUCAGAUUUUAAUUUCAUAGUAGAAAGUCUAUAAUGAUUCACAAGCUCUUUUUAAACCUGUUAUCAAUGAAUGGACGAUGAUAUCCAGUUUGCAUACAUUGUUGUUGCUACGUCAGACCACAUGUGAAAUACCCUCAAACAAUUUUUUUAUUCAGAGAUUGAGAAAAGAAGAGAUGGGUUUAGUGGUGCACUUAAAAAUGACUUGAGCAAUUAUAAACUAUGCUAUGUUGUAAUUGUUUGUAAUAUAUCGCAUAUAUUUAAUUGGACAGGCAAGUUAUGUUAUUCUAUUUUAUCAGCAUUUUGAAUUGUCAUUGUCAUUUUAUUCUCUUGCAAGUUUUAUCAAUUGAUAUUUAUCAGGCAAUGUUACUUCCUUUUUAAAUUCAUCGUUCCCCUUAUUAUCAAGAGAUUUGAAAUCUUCAGAUGUUUUAUGGUUUGUCGGUUGUUUAUGCCUGCACGUCUGAAAGUUUAGGAGGUAUUGGUUAUCAUAUUUUUUUUUAUAUUGGAAUCUUUUUUUCUUACCUACUAGUUAUCAACUGUUAUGCUUUUGCCCCCCCCCCCCAAUUUGCAUGCAUCACCACCAAAACAUCAGUAAUCAUCACACCUCUCGAGUGAACAAAAUGAUGAAUAAGUGAAGGUGAUUAUGGGAGCACAGUAGGUGGUUUCAGACCACCUCGAAGUUCGUCAGUUCCAGGUAUUUUCUGAUCGGGAAAUUUACCCGAUCAGAAAAUACCAGGUAAUAUUGGCAAUGUGAAAGCAAAUUACGCGUAAUCUCCCCGAAAGAAAAUACCCACUAAAUAGUAGGUACUUGUCAAAAUUACGAUAACUUUCGCGGGGAUUUUUCCAAGGUCGCAUGUAUUUUGGCAAUGUGAAAGCAAUUUACGGGAACUUUUAGCCCAGCAUGUAGUUGGGCGCGGGUGCCGUGGGUGGUUGCUGAGCUAGUGAUUUUGAAUCUCGCGCCUUGCCUGCUUAUUAGACCAUACUGCGCAUGCUUGUAACUUCAGGAACUUAUCCCGAAGGGUAUGUUUCGGGGUGGUGUGAAUGCAGGAAUAAUUAUUGGGUAUUUUUAGCCUAAAAAUGUUCUCGUAAUUUAACGGGGAUUCUUAUGAUCGGGGCGGUUUGAAACCACCUACUGUGAUCACUGCUCUAUGAUACCCAUUGGUAUUGUACACUAAAUUAUCAUAGAGGUUAGAUUUAUUUAUUUUAAUUUGAGAAGUUUGACUUCCCCAAUGGGGAAGUCGUGGAAUUUCACUUGGUCAAAAAUGAAUUUUGCCCCUUCCAAUAUGCUUUGGUGCUGCCAAGUACACACUGCAAAAACACCGGUGUUGAUUGUAACACCAGCCUAGUAUCUAUAUUGGUCCACACAAGAGAAGCGUUGAAACAACACCAGUUAUGAAUCAAACCGAUAUUGGUUUAACACUAAUUGGUGUUAGCCUAACGCCAAACCGAUGUUGUUUCAACACCUCUCUGGUGUGGACUGAUAUAGAUACCUGGCUGGUGUUAAAUUAACACCGAUGUUUGUGCAGUGCAUGAAAUACUGAAAUCAUGCAUUUGGAGUUUUCUUUUUAUUUGUUGGUCAUAUUAAACUUCUAAUGAUUUUUUUCUCCUCCCUCCCUUUCUAUUUUUUUUACUUGUAUGUAGCUGUUUAUGUUUCCGUAGGGACACACCCCUUGCCCACCCCAUUGUAGCCACUAAUGUAGAGACAGUGAUUUUCCUUUUUACUGGUAAAUAAAAGGGAAAUUCCGUUUGGUUCGUACACUUUUCAUGUAAAAAAAUCAUGGAAUUCACCUUUGCAAAAUGGAAUUCAGGUUUUUGCUCUGUAAAUUUUCAGUGACAAAACAGAAUUUCAAUUUUUUAGAACAAGCUGAAAUGGAAUUAACAGAUUUUCAGAAACGGAAAAGACCUUUUUUUUAAACGGAAAAUUACUGUCUCAACUAAUGCACCUUAGCAGUCACAUGGUAUAUCAACUAGGGGAAAACCAUUUUUUAUGAGGGGAAUCCCCUCUUAAGAGGGAAAUCCCACGUUCGCAAUUUUUUGUGUUUCAGGAUCACUUGUUAAUAUUGGGUAAACUUCUUUGAUUGAUAGUGGAAUUUUAUUUUUACCUACAUUGUAAAUGGGCCACUCUAUGAAUGUUGUGAUAUCACAACACAGUACACACCAGACUUGACGCUAUCUCAUGUAAUGACUUAUUUUUCUUCAUUCCUUUUCAAAUCCCCUUCUUUAUAAAUGCCAGUUAUCAGGGUAGAGGUCAUUUUUUAUAUUAGAAGUUGUAAAAAAAUGAAGAUAUUGAAAAGAUCUCACAUUUCAAAGACAACUAAUCGCAUUUUUUAAGUUUCGUUUUGUACCGAUUGUGUUUUCAGAUUUGUUAUGUCGUAAAAUGCACAUACGUGAUAUACGGAUGCAUCUCUGAUUGUUUUUAGGCUUUUUUUGUUCAGACUCACACACUAGUAUGACAUAGCCAUGUUAUUGGUAUAGUUAAGUCUGGUGCACACAAGACUACUAAUACAUUGCUUGAAUCAUAGAAUAUAGUUUUGUGAAUGAUAAUUUUCAUAUUUGACCAGGGGGUGUUUCACAAAGGGUAAAGUGUGACUUAAAAAGUAAUGCACCAGUACCAACAUGCAUGUAAGGUUUCAUCGAGUGAAACAUGUGAAAGCGUAUCCCAUCAACUUGAUCUGACCAAUGUGAUCAUGCUUAAUGAUAUAGCUAUCAUUAUGUAACGGGGCAUCCGAGUUUGAUUUUUAAUCCAUCUUAGCUCUUUGUGAAAACACCCCCAUCCCCAGAUUAUAAUAUUCCAUACAGUUUAUUUGUUAAAUACAUGUAUUGAAAUAGGAUUGUAUUUAUUCUCAAUUUCCUGUCAUAAUUGUGAUUUUUUUUAUUCAUUGAUUAUUUUGUCAAUAUGAAUAAUACCGUUGAUAUAAAUGAUGCUAUAAUAUUGCGUGUCGCUGCAAUGUUAAGAUUAAAAACAUGUAAAUCGUGUUUGAAAUAUUAAAAAAAGAAAA
This is a long non-coding RNA of Lytechinus pictus (painted urchin), 3132 nucleotides long. RefSeq lists it as uncharacterized. The record is from RefSeq and is a predicted model, not a curated record. NCBI's taxonomy places the organism in Eukaryota, Metazoa, Echinodermata, Echinoidea, Temnopleuroida, Toxopneustidae. The transcript is spliced from 2 exons.